RNAcentral lists this unclassified non-coding RNA (181 nucleotides) under Glomeromycotina sp. RNAcentral's name for it is "partial contains small subunit ribosomal RNA, internal transcribed spacer 1, and 5.8S ribosomal RNA". The stretch from base 1 to 47 matches the Rfam family "Eukaryotic small subunit ribosomal RNA", at positions 1785 to 1831 of the family's 1831-position model. The record is from RNAcentral. Lineage: Eukaryota; Fungi; Glomeromycota.
AAAGUCGUAACAAGGUUUCCGUAGGUGAACCUGCGGAAGGAUCAUUACCGAUUUUAGCGAACCUGACCUUUGGUUAUGGUCUCGCGAAAACUUUAUAUUUAAAACCCCACUCAUAAAAAAAAAAAAAAUUUUUCAUAUAAAUAAAUAAAGAUCACUUUCAACAACGGAUCUCUUGGCUCUC